UGGGCACUCUGCGGAGACUGCCGGUGAUAAACCGGAGGAAGGUGGGGAUGACGUCAAGUCAGCAUGGCCUUUAUGUCUGGGGCUACACACGUGCUACAAUGGCCGGUACAAACCGUCGCGAUCUCGCGAGAGGGAGCUAAUCGGAGAAAGCCGGUCUCAGUUCGGAUUGCAGGCUGCAACUCGCCUGCAUGAAGUUGGAAUCGCUAGUAAUCGCGGAUCAGCACGCCGCGGUGAAUACGUUCCCGGGCCUU
RNAcentral lists this ribosomal RNA (251 nucleotides) under uncultured bacterium. RNAcentral's name for it is "partial 16S ribosomal RNA". It matches the Rfam family "Bacterial small subunit ribosomal RNA", at positions 1132 to 1382 of the family's 1533-position model. The record is from RNAcentral.